AUGUGGGUGUUGCCAAACUCGAAAAUUCCUACUCUCUCCGAUUUUUUCCCCGUAAUAUUAUUCCCAACGAUGCUGAAGUCAUUGCCUCUUCCGCCCAUGUCUUUUUUCUUACCUCUCUCAUUCUUGGGUUGGAGAGUUUUGGUGCUCACUGAUGGGGAUUUCGAGCUGUUGCUGUUUUGUUGGUCGGUGUUCCCCUUAGAAGAAUCCUCAGAACCAUGUUUCUGA
RNAcentral lists this long non-coding RNA (225 nucleotides) under Prunus dulcis (almond). RNAcentral describes it as "sRNA ncRNA". Lineage: Eukaryota; Viridiplantae; Streptophyta; Magnoliopsida; Rosales; Rosaceae. The record is from RNAcentral.